CCUACGGGGGGCAGCAGUGAGGAAUAUUGGUCAAUGGCCGCAGGGCUGAACCAGCCAAGUCGCGUGAGGGAUGACGGUCCUAUGGAUUGUAAACCUCUUUUGUCAGGGAGCAAAGGGCGCCACGUGUGGCGCUUUGCGAGUACAUGAAGAAAAAGCAUCGGCUAACUCCGUGCCAUAAGCCGCGGUAAUACGGAGGAUGCGAGUGUUAUCCGGAUUUAUUGGGUUUAAAGGGUGGGCAGGCAGAAUGUCAAGUCAGCGGUAAAAUUUCGGGGCUCAACCCCGUCGUGCCGUUGAAACUGGCGUUCUUGAGUGAGCGAGAAGUAUGCGGAAUGCGUGGUGUAGCGGUGAAAUGCAUAGAUAUCACGCAGAACUCCGAUGGCGAAGGCAGCAUACCGGCGCUCAACUGACGCUCAUGCACGAAAGCGUGGGUAUCGAACAGGAUUAGAUACCCGGGUAGUC
Molecule: ribosomal RNA, 459 nt
Filed under: uncultured bacterium
Lineage: Bacteria
Description: partial 16S ribosomal RNA
Rfam family: Bacterial small subunit ribosomal RNA
Source: RNAcentral